GAAGGCCUCUCCCAGGUGACGUUUGGGCAGAGGCCUGAAUGCCUCGAAGCUGCUAACCCUGAGAAGAUUGGGACCAGAAGCUCUUAGUGGAAGCACAAACAGCACCUGUAAAGGCCCUGAGGUGGAAAUGAGCUUGGCGUGUUUGAGGAUCAGAACGUGGCCAGUGUGGCUGGAGGGUGUGGGCUAGUGGGAGAGCAGUGGGCCCUGAGGUUCACAGAGGCCAGACCGGGUGGACCCUGCCACUUAGGCUGUGGGGAGACGUUGGACUCUGUUAAAGGCAGGAGAAGCUGUGGGAGGUGGCGAUGACCCUGGAGAUUUCUGGUGGCUGGCAGGAGUGAGAGCAGGGAGUGCCCUCCAGCUGUCCCCCAGGUGACAGAGACUGACUACCUGAGAGGAUUGCUGAGUGGCAGCGAGUGAGUACUUGUGGAGUGAUUGGCAGAGUUCUCGGUGAGUGGUCGGUCACGUUGAAUCCAGACGCCUGGCCCAGUAUAGAAG
Molecule: long non-coding RNA, 495 nt
Organism: Equus quagga
Lineage: Eukaryota; Metazoa; Chordata; Mammalia; Perissodactyla; Equidae
Exons: 2
Source: RefSeq, a predicted model, not a curated record